RNAcentral lists this ribosomal RNA (292 nucleotides) under uncultured bacterium. RNAcentral's name for it is "partial 16S ribosomal RNA". It matches the Rfam family "Bacterial small subunit ribosomal RNA", at positions 505 to 796 of the family's 1533-position model. The record is from RNAcentral.
GUGCCAGCAGCCGCGGUAAGACAGAGGUCUCAAGCGUUAGGCGGAAUCACUGGGCUUAAAGCGUGUGUAGGCGGAUCGUUAAGUGCCUUGUGAAAUCCCACAGCUCAACUGUGGAACUGCUUGGCAUACUGGCGGUCUUGAGCCAUCUAGGGGUCGCUGGAACAAACGGUGGAGCGGUGAAAUGCGUAGAUAUCGUUUGGAACGCCAAUGGUGAAAACAGGCGACUGGGGAUGUGCUGACGCUGAGACACGAAAGCCAGGGGAGCAAACGGGAUUAGAUACCCCGGUAGUCC